GACAGAGGGUGCAAGCGUUGUUCGGAAUUAUUGGGCGUAAAGGGUGCGUAGGUGGUGAGGUAAGUCUGAUGUGAAAUCUCCGAGCUCAACUCGGAAAUGGCAUUGGAAACUACCUUGCUAGAGGGUUGGAGGGGGGACUGGAAUACUUGGUGUAGCAGUGAAAUGCGUAGAUAUCAAGUGGAACACCAGUGGCGAAGGCGAGUCCCUGGACAACUCCUGACACUGAGGCACGAAAGCUAGGGGAGCAAACAGG
Molecule: ribosomal RNA, 253 nt
Filed under: uncultured bacterium
Lineage: Bacteria
Description: partial 16S ribosomal RNA
Rfam family: Bacterial small subunit ribosomal RNA
Source: RNAcentral